This 720-nucleotide ribosomal RNA is filed under the name uncultured bacterium. RNAcentral's name for it is "bacterial SSU rRNA". It matches the Rfam family "Bacterial small subunit ribosomal RNA", at positions 63 to 774 of the family's 1533-position model. The record is from RNAcentral.
AGCGGGGAGCGAAGCUUGCUUUGCUCCGCCGGCGACCGGCGCACGGGUGAGUAACGCGUAUGCAACCUGCCCGUUUCAGCGGGAUAACCCGGAGAAAUCCGGCCUAAUACCGCAUGUGGCCGAGGGAAGGCAUCUUCUUUCGGCCAAAGGAGGCGACUCCGGAGACGGAUGGGCAUGCGUGACAUUAGCUUGUUGGCGGGGUAACGGCCCACCAAGGCGACGAUGUCUAGGGGUUCUGAGAGGAAGGUCCCCCACACUGGUACUGAGACACGGACCAGACUCCUACGGGAGGCAGCAGUGAGGAAUAUUGGUCAAUGGGCGAGAGCCUGAACCAGCCAAGUCGCGUGAAGGAUGACGGCCCUACGGGUUGUAAACUUCUUUUGUCAGGGAGCAAUUGAGUCCACGUGUGGGCUUAGCGAGAGUACCUGAAGAAAAAGCAUCGGCUAACUCCGUGCCAGCAGCCGCGGUAAUACGGAGGAUGCGAGCGUUAUCCGGAUUUAUUGGGUUUAAAGGGUGCGUAGGCGGAAUAUCAAGUCAGCGGUAAAAAUUCGGGGCUCAACCCCGUCGUGCCGUUGAAACUGAUGUUCUUGAGUGGGCGAGAAGUAUGCGGAAUGCGUGGUGUAGCGGUGAAAUGCAUAGAUAUCACGCAGAACUCCGAUUGCGAAGGCAGCAUACCGGCGCCCAACUGACGCUGAAGCACGAAAGCGUGGGUAUCGAACA